GAGUUUGAUCAUGGCUCAGGACGAACGCUGGCGGCACGCCUAACACAUGCAAGUCGAACGGAGAUAUUUUGGUUUACUGAGAUAUCUUAGUGGCGGACGGGUGAGUAACACGUGAGCAACCUGCCUCUGAGAGAGGGAUAGCUUCUGGAAACGGAUGGUAAUACCUCAUAACAUAACGAAGCCGCAUGACUUUGUUAUCAAAGAUUUAUCACUCAGAGAUGGGCUCGCGUCUGAUUAGAUAGUUGGUGAGGUAACGGCCCACCAAGUCGACGAUCAGUAGCCGGACUGAGAGGUUGAACGGCCACAUUGGGACUGAGACACGGCCCAGACUCCUACGGGAGGCAGCAGUGGGGAAUAUUGCACAAUGGGGGAAACCCUGAUGCAGCGAUGCCGCGUGGAGGAAGAAGGUUUUCGGAUUGUAAACUCCUGUCUUAWAGGACGAUAAUGACGGUACUUUAGGAGGAAKCUCCGGCUAACUACGUGCCARCAGCCGYGGUAAUACRUARGGAGCGAGCGUUGUCCCGGAAUUACUGGRUGUAAAGGGGAGCGUAGGCGGGAUGGCAAGUCAGAUGUGWAAUCU
This 580-nucleotide ribosomal RNA is filed under the name uncultured Bacillota bacterium. RNAcentral describes it as "bacterial SSU rRNA". The record is from RNAcentral. Lineage: Bacteria; Bacillati; Bacillota.